This 290-nucleotide ribosomal RNA is filed under the name Rhizophagus prolifer. The record is from RNAcentral. Lineage: Eukaryota; Fungi; Glomeromycota; Glomeromycetes; Glomerales; Glomeraceae.
CAGUCACGUUGGCUAGGAAUCAGCCUCGCUUUUGCGUGGUGUACUUUCUAGUUGACGGGUCAGCAUCAAUUUUGACUGCUGGAAAAAGGCUUGGGGAAUGUGGCAGCUCCGGCUGUGUUAUAGCCUUUGGUAGAUGUGACGAUUGGGAUUGAGGAUUGCAACGGAUACCCCUCGGGGUUACCCGUCUGAUCUCUGAAGGUUGCUCCGGUGCCGAAAGCGUGCUUACGGUCAUCGAAAGUGAUUUUCAAAAGGUUAGAGCGGGUUAAAUUCGUUAAGGAUGUUGACGUAAU